RNAcentral lists this ribosomal RNA (253 nucleotides) under uncultured bacterium. RNAcentral describes it as "partial 16S ribosomal RNA". It matches the Rfam family "Bacterial small subunit ribosomal RNA", at positions 524 to 776 of the family's 1533-position model. The record is from RNAcentral.
UACAGAGGUCCCAAGCGUUGUUCGGAUUCACUGGGCGUAAAGGGUGCGUAGGUGGUGAGGUAAGUCGGAUGUGAAAUCCUCCGAGCUCAACUCGGAAAUGGCAUUGGAAACUACCUUGCUCGAGGGUUGGAGGGGGACUGGAAUGCUUGGUGUAGCAGUGAAAUGCGUAGAUAUCAAGCGGAACACCAGUGGCGAAGGCGAGUCCCUGGACAACUCCUGACACUGAGGCACGAAAGCUAGGGGAGCAAACAGG